Molecule: RNA transcript, 1044 nt
Organism: Brachypodium distachyon (stiff brome)
Lineage: Eukaryota; Viridiplantae; Streptophyta; Magnoliopsida; Poales; Poaceae
Gene name: tropinone reductase homolog At2g29150-like
Exons: 4
Source: RefSeq, a predicted model, not a curated record
CACUCCGUGUUGUAUAGUUUCUGUUUGCAUUCCGUGCGUGUGCCCUUCCAUUGAGUCAUAUAUAGGUAUACUCGCUCCGGUGAGUGGUGAGGAGAUGGCGGUGGUCGCCGGCUUGAGCAGGGAGGAGCGGUGGAGCCUGGCGGGUGCGACGGCGCUCGUCACCGGCGGCAGCAAAGGGAUCGGGCACGCGAUCGUGGAGGAGCUGGCCGGGUUCGGGGCUCGUGUGCACACGUGCUCCCGGAACGCGGCGGAGCUGGAGGAAUGCCGCCGCCGGUGGGAGGAGAAGGGGAUUCCGGUCACCGUCUCUGUCUGCGACGUCUCCGUGCGCGCCGACAGGGAGAAGCUCCUGGAGACUGUCAGGGAGAACUUCGAUGGCAAGCUCGACAUACUGGUGAACAAUGCGGGGCAGAGCCGUGGAGUGGACAGCCGAAGACUACUCGAAUAUCAUGACGACUAACCUGGAGUCGAGCUUCCACCUUAGCCAGCUCGCGCACCCUCUUCUCAUCCGCUCAUCCAUCGCCGGAGGAGGCAGCAUCGUCAACAUCUCCACCAUCUCAGGUUCAAUUGCCUAUCCAGGCGUCGCGCUUUACGCCAUUUCAAAAGGAGGAAUGAACCAGCUCACGAGAAGUCUUGCUUCUGAGUGGGCUAAUGACAACAUUCGUGUAAAUGCCAUCGCCCCAGGUUUUAUCACCACCGAUAUGACAAGAAAUAUAAGGUCUGAUGUCCUCGAGAAAGAGUACUCAAAGACUCCGAUGAGGCGAAGCGGCGAGCCGGUGGAGGUUGCAGCGGCGGUGUCGUUCCUCUGUAUGCCUGCAGCCUCCUUCAUCACUGGCCAGGUCAUCUUCGUCGACGGUGGCCGUACAAUUAGUGCUUAGCUUAUCUAAUCUCUUAAUUACCAUGGCAUAUGUGACAAAUAUUGUUAAGUCUGGCGUCUCGCUUCUUUCUUUAUUUGUUAAUUAGCGUUGGAAAGCAACACAUUCCAUCGGCAUUAUUUUGGUAAGAAUAAAGUGCCAGAAGAAAGAAAAUUGCAAGACUGCGCCAUUA